CCUACGGGGGGCAGCAGUGAGGAAUAUUGGUCAAUGGGCGAGAGCCUGAACCAGCCAAGUCGCGUGAAGGAAGAAGGUACUUAGUAUUGUAAACUUCUUUUGUCGGGGAACAAAGGCGGAGACGCGUCUCCGGAUGAGUGUACCCGAAGAAAAAGCAUCGGCUAACUCCGUGCCAGCAGCCGCGGUAAUACGUAGGAUCCGAGCAUUAUCCGGAGUGACUGGGUGUAAAGAGUUGCGUAGGUGGCAUAGUAAGUAGCUAGUGAAAUCUGGUGGCUCAACCAUUCAGACUAUUAGCUAAACUGCUA
RNAcentral lists this ribosomal RNA (305 nucleotides) under uncultured bacterium. Its description in RNAcentral is "bacterial SSU rRNA". It matches the Rfam family "Bacterial small subunit ribosomal RNA", at positions 338 to 638 of the family's 1533-position model. The record is from RNAcentral.